This 497-nucleotide ribosomal RNA is filed under the name uncultured bacterium. RNAcentral describes it as "partial 16S ribosomal RNA". It matches the Rfam family "Bacterial small subunit ribosomal RNA", at positions 28 to 507 of the family's 1533-position model. The record is from RNAcentral.
GACGAACGCUGGCGGCGUGCCUAAUACAUGCAAGUAGAACGCUGAAGAGAGGAGCUUACUCUUCUUGGAUGAGUUGCGAACGGGUGAGUAACGCGUAGGUAACCUGCCUUGUAGCGGGGGAUAACUAUUGGAAACGAUAGCUAAUACCGCAUAACAAUGGAUGACACAUGUCAUUUAUUUGAAAGGGGCAAUUGCUCCACUACAAGAUGGACCUGCGUUGUAUUAGCUAGUAGGUGAGGUAAUGGCUCACCUAGGCGACGAUACAUAGCCGACCUGAGAGGGUGAUCGGCCAAACUGGGACUGAGACACGGCCCAGACUCCUACGGGAGGCAGCAGUAGGGAAUCUUCGGAAAUAGGGGCAACGCUGACCGAGCAACGCCGCGUGAGUGAAGAAGGGUUUCGGAUCGUAAAGCUCUGUUGUAAGUCAAGAACGGGGGUGAGAGUGGAAAGUUCACACUGUGACGGUAGCUAACCAGAAAGGGACGGCUAACUACGUG